RNAcentral lists this transfer RNA (76 nucleotides) under Puniceicoccales bacterium. Its description in RNAcentral is "tRNA-Ile". It matches the Rfam family "tRNA". Rfam says of the family: Transfer RNA (tRNA) molecules are approximately 80 nucleotides in length. Their secondary structure includes four short double-helical elements and three loops (D, anti-codon, and T loops). The record is from RNAcentral. Lineage: Bacteria; Pseudomonadati; Verrucomicrobiota; Opitutia; Puniceicoccales.
GGGCCUUUAGCUCAGCGGUUAGAGCAGGGCACUCAUAAUGCCUUGGUCGCAGGUUCAAAUCCUGCAAGGCCCACCA